CUGCACCCACUGAUAGGCCUUGAACAGUUUGUUGUUGUUCAUUUGGUUUGCACUGGGAUGCAAAAGAAGGAAAUCCCUGCGCUUUCUGCCUGUCUUCGUGGCAGCUCAGAUUGAAUAGGGGAAUACAUCU
Molecule: small nucleolar RNA, 130 nt
Organism: Diceros bicornis minor
Lineage: Eukaryota; Metazoa; Chordata; Mammalia; Perissodactyla; Rhinocerotidae
Product: small nucleolar RNA SNORA31
Exons: 1
Source: RefSeq, a predicted model, not a curated record